GAAUAGCCUUCCGAAAGGAGGAUUAAUACAUCGUAACUUAAGGAAGUGGCAUCACUAUCUUAAUAUAGCUCCGGCGGUUUUGGAUGAGCGUGCGCCUGAUUAGGUAGUUGGCGGGGUAACGGCCCACCAAGCCUGCGAUCAGUAACUGGUGUGAGAGCACGACCAGUCACACGGGCACUGAGACACGGGCCCGACUCCUACGGGAGGCAGCAGUAAGGAAUAUUGGUCAAUGGACGCAAGUCUGAACCAGCCAUGCCGCGUGAAGGAUGAAGGUCCUCUGGAUUGUAAACUUCUCUUAUAUGGGACGAAACCUCUUAUUCUUAAGAGACUGACGGUACCAUAGGCAUAAG
This 350-nucleotide ribosomal RNA is filed under the name uncultured bacterium #0324-2E2. Its description in RNAcentral is "bacterial SSU rRNA". It matches the Rfam family "Bacterial small subunit ribosomal RNA", at positions 141 to 490 of the family's 1533-position model. The record is from RNAcentral.